RNAcentral lists this ribosomal RNA (253 nucleotides) under uncultured bacterium. RNAcentral's name for it is "partial 16S ribosomal RNA". It matches the Rfam family "Bacterial small subunit ribosomal RNA", at positions 524 to 776 of the family's 1533-position model. The record is from RNAcentral.
UACAGAGGGUGCGAGCGUUAAUCGGAAUGACUGGGCGUAAAGGGUGCGUAGGUGGCCGCAUAAGUCAGAUGUGAAAGUCCUGGGCUCAACCUGGGGAUUGCGUCUGGUACUGCGUAGCUAGAGUACUGUAGAGGGAAGUGGAAUUUCCGGUGUAGCAGUGAAAUGCGUAGAUAUCGGAAGGAACAUCAGUGGCGAAGGCGACUUUCUGGUCCAAUACUGACGUUCAUGUGCGAAAGCGUGGGGAGCAAACAGG